Molecule: ribosomal RNA, 253 nt
Filed under: uncultured bacterium
Lineage: Bacteria
Description: partial 16S ribosomal RNA
Rfam family: Bacterial small subunit ribosomal RNA
Source: RNAcentral
UACGGGGGGGGCAAGCGUUGUUCGGAAUUACUGGGCGUAAAGGGUUCGUAGGUGGCCUGCUAAGUCAGACGUGAAAUCCCUCAGCUUAACUGGGGAACUGCGUCUGAUACUGGAAGGCUUGAGUGCAGGAGAGGAACGCGGAAUUCCAGGUGUAGCGGUGAAAUGCGUAGAUAUCUGGAGGAACACCGGUGGCGAAGGCGGCGUUCUGGACCGACACUGACGCUGAGGAGCGAAAGCCAGGGGAGCAAACGGG